AUGGCAAAGUUCUGGUGGAGUGGCUCCCUGGAUCGUCGAUCUCUUCAUUGGGUGGCGUGGGAGAAACUUGCUACUCCGAAAGCUCGUGGUGGAAUGGGCUUUCGUGACUUGAAGCUUUUCAAUUUGUCGCUGCUCGGUAAACACGGUUGGAGGUUUAUUACUAAGCCAGAGUCGCUUUGUGCUCGGGUAAUGAAGGGCCGGUAUUGUCCUGACAGUGAUUUCAUGGAGGCCACGGUGCCAAAGACUUCCUCUGCCAUAUGGCGAGCGAUAGUGGCUGGUAAGGCGAGCCCCGCCUUGAUCAAGAGGGUAGGAGACAGCUCCACAAUUUCAUUUUGGCAUGAUAGAUGGAUUCCAGGUCUUGCUACUCUGUCGCCCAUGGUUGUACCGGGGGGGACACUGUUAGGGAACGUAGUAAUUUCAAAAAAAUUCCUACGCACACGCAAGAUCAUGGUGAUGCAUAGCAACGAGAGGGGAGAGUGCUUUCCACGUACCCUCGUAGACCGAAAGCGGAAGCGUUAG
RNAcentral lists this ribosomal RNA (519 nucleotides) under Triticum aestivum (bread wheat). RNAcentral describes it as "partial small subunit ribosomal RNA". Lineage: Eukaryota; Viridiplantae; Streptophyta; Magnoliopsida; Poales; Poaceae. The record is from RNAcentral.